CCUACGGGAGGUAGCAGUGAGGAAUAUUGGUCAAUGUGCGCGAGCCUGAACCAGCCACGUAGCGUGAAGGCUGACUGCCCUACGGGUUGUAAACUUCUUUUAUAAAGGAAUAAAGUGAGGCACGUGUGCCUUUUUGUAUGUACUUUAUGACUAAGUAUCGGCUAACUCCGUGCCAGCAGCCGCGUUACUACGUAGGAUCCGAGCGUUAUCCGGAUUUAUUGGGUUUAAAGGGAGCGUAGAUGGGUUUUGAAGUCAGUUGUGAAAGUUUGCGGCUCAACCGUAAAAUUGCAAUUGAUACUGGCAGCCUUGAGUACAGUUGAGGUAGGCGGAAUUCGUGGUGUAGCGGUGAAAUGCUUAGAUAUCACGAAGAACUCCGAUUGCGAAGGCAGCCUACUAAACUGCCACUGACAUUGAUGCUCGAAAGUGUGGGUAUCAAACAGGAUUAGAUACCCCAGUAGUC
Molecule: ribosomal RNA, 460 nt
Filed under: uncultured bacterium
Lineage: Bacteria
Description: partial 16S ribosomal RNA
Rfam family: Bacterial small subunit ribosomal RNA
Source: RNAcentral